This 200-nucleotide long non-coding RNA is filed under the name Lonchura striata (white-rumped munia). RNAcentral describes it as "domestica (Bengalese finch) lncRNA (ENSLSDG00000006662.1)". The record is from RNAcentral. Lineage: Eukaryota; Metazoa; Chordata; Aves; Passeriformes; Estrildidae.
CCCGCCCCGCUCGCCCGCGGCGCCGGCUCCGCAGACCUCCCGCCGCAGCGCGCCGCGCCGGGCUCCAUGCCGCGCUCCGGGAUGCGAGGAGAAAGUUGGUGACUCUGUUUUCCCACCGUCAUAGAUGGUGACGGCGAUGCUGAAGGCACUGGGCGAGUUGCUCCUCCUCAGCUCUUCUGUGUGAGGACCAAAGAAUACAA